Chiroxiphia lanceolata (lance-tailed manakin) is the source of this 1350-nucleotide long non-coding RNA. RefSeq lists it as uncharacterized. The transcript has 3 exons. NCBI's taxonomy places the organism in Eukaryota, Metazoa, Chordata, Aves, Passeriformes, Pipridae. The record is from RefSeq and is a predicted model, not a curated record.
GACAGUCCUCCAUGGGCUGCAGCAAGACUAGACAGGUAACAGUGAACAACAAGAUGGGAGUCAUCCAACACUGUAUUGAACCAGCGCCGUGUGGGAAGCAAAGCCUGUGGUAAACAACCUCACGUCAAUACAAGCAACUCUUCAAAAGGAUCAUAUGAGAAUCAAAAUAAAGUGAAAACUGAGGAAAUCAUCUGAUUUUCGGUAGCUCAGCCAGCUCCUUUUGCAAAUACAUAUUUAAGGAUUAAAAUUUAUACCCUAAAAAAAUGCACAAAUAAAAUAAUGCAAAUUUGUAUGCCACAAAGAUAAUGUUUUCCUUUAUGUCAAUAGAAUACGAGUGCAGUGCAUUAGCAGUACACAUGCUAAGGAACACUUUUUUACUUUUUUAUAUAGCAGCGGCCACGUAAUUCUCUGUUUCCCUUCCUUCACUUUGCCAGCAAGGGACAUUCAAGUGCCAUGGGCAAAGCUGGACAGUCACCAUAUCCAUAUGCUCUAACUACCCUACACGCCCAGAUGACUUUCAGUGGAGAAUGACAGGCCACAGUCUACAUCAUCACCGGUCAGCUUCUUGCAUCUUCAUGCACUCACAUCCUCAGGCACUACUUUGCAUGCCAAGGCAGCACACGUGCAACAACCACCUCCAUGACUCUUGGACUAGAAGUCACAUAUGGGAUUUCACAGAUCCAUACAGUUCAGCACCAGGGACACUGGAAGGAUUCCAGUGAUGAGGAAACAUUUCAGCAACAUAUCCAAAUCAUGUCAGAUGCAUAAAAGAAUCAAGUCACACAUUAGGAUAUCCUGGAAGUAGACAGGAACUGGAAUGGCAGAGAACAGAAGUAAACAGCAUUCAGAGACCUGUGAUAACUCAGGACAGAUAUAAUGACACUUUUAUGUUAGAACACUAGGUUCUGAACAGGGAUAUGAUCACUUAUGAGUGAUUUUGUUGGCAUAAGACUGAUUUCUCCUUCAUUUGCACGGACUUAGAAUAUUCACCUUUUUAACAGAUGCUAAAAAAAUGCCGUUUAAAAGCUGCUUGACAGAACUAGUCAUUACAUGAAAAAGUACAAAAGUACAGUUAAUUUGCUUAACCUGGAUAAAGUACAUUACAUGAGAGCAUAGUCACUUUUGUAAUUUCAAUUUUCCUUAUGAUAACUGCCUCUCAGACACAUCUCGUUCACAGCCAUCAGACCAUAAAACUAGGCUAUUAAGUUAAAACUUGCACUUUAAAAAUCCACAAAACCUUGCGCUAGAAAUAUGAACCGUGACCACUUUAGUUAUUUAGGAGAUCUAGGCAUUUUCAACAUUAUUACAAGGGGCCAUUAGACAGGCUGAAUCCAUAGUCUUUAUUGAUUU